Non-coding RNA from Coturnix japonica (Japanese quail), 10480 nucleotides. The record is from RefSeq and is a predicted model, not a curated record. Lineage: Eukaryota; Metazoa; Chordata; Aves; Galliformes; Phasianidae.
GUUAUUAAAAUGAACUGUUUAUAUUAUCUCAGUUGAGUCAAUACAUUAUAAUGUAUUAAAAUGGAAAGGUACAAAAUUGAAAUAAAUACUUUCUGAUUCAUGUAUAAAUCUUUUGUCAAGAUGACAUUUUGUUGUGUUUUUUUUGUAUUUUUUUGUUUUUUUGUGUUUUUUUUUGUUUUGUUUUGUUGUUUUCAUCAGUACAUGUUUCAAUAAAACAUUUAAAAUGACAUUUAAAGUAUCGUUUAAAACAUGGUUCGUGGAAGAAAAGGUUGAAAUCAAACAACUUUUGGCUUGUUUUGGCAUGAGAUCUUGACACAAUCUGGGUUCCCCAAAACCACGUAAAUGGUGGUAAAAUAUAAAUGCUCGAACUUAUUUAAAAAAAUAAACAGGCUUUACAAAACCCUCUGAUCCUUGACUUAGCCACUUUUCUGUAUAGUCUGCACUUACGAUAUAUACAUUCAUUAUUGUCCAAGGGAAGACAGCCACUGACUUUCAUUUAAAGAGCUUGGUGGAGAGGCCUAACAAACAUGAUGCAGCUGACUACAAUUAACACGGUUUAAAAAAUUCCUGACAGUGCAAAAAAAAAAAACCCAAAAAACAACCAAAACAGCUCAGAAACCAAAGUGUACAAAUGGGACGGGGAAGAGGCAAGUGCAUGAGUCCAGAUCUGAAGCAAAGCGUUUUGGGUGUGUUGGCCAGCUCUACCGAAGGACAUUUGCAGGUAUAAUCCACUUUGUCAGCUACCCCAGCAAAGGUCCGUACCUAACACAGAACUCGCGGACCCGCGUGCUGGCAUAAAUCAUUAUUUCAGGCUCCCCUUUUAUAUCCUGGGCGUUUUUGCAGGGAAGUUGUUGAUUGGCACUCGGGAGCCUUCUGCAGAGAUGUCUUCAUUGGUGGUGAAUGCAAGAGCUGCACAGGGCAAAGCUCUGCGGUGAGAGCCUGGCUUGGGAAGAGGGGAUGAUGUCUCAAUGUGAAAUUGAAGAGCAGAAAGGGAGGAGAGGAUGUGAAUGUGGGCUCGGGACCUCUGAGAAGAGGCCAUGGGGAAUUUACUCCCGGGCAGCGGAUUUUAUCAGGAUCAUGGAGCAGGCGUCUUUGUGUGCUUUAAUUUCAACAGUGUGCUUAUUUCUUCUUUGUUGCCAUAGCCGUGGGCUGUUGUGGUCCCUCUAACCUCUCCCGUGUGCUUAUCAUCCUGGGGCAAUGGACAGACUGCCGUGUGGGGCAGGGAGUGGGAUCAUGGAUGAUGGUGGCUUUUCCCAAAGCUCAGUAUUCCAGGAACAACUCCAGUUUCAUUAAAAAGGGGAAAAUAAAUGCAGUUAUAUUAAAAAUAAAACGAACAAGAGCCUUCCUGCCAAUCUCUAGAUAAAACUCGAUGCCUGGAGCGACUCCUGUGGGUGUAUUGAUGCCAACAAGUUAAACUGCACAAUCAGAAGAGUGGCUCCUCUUUGUUUGAUGGUUUGGAAGGCUGUAGAAGACUCUGUCACCUCAGCACGGAAGAACAGCCCCACAUUAGCUCAGUGGAAGGGCAGGUGAGAUCCAAGGCAGCGCCAGCUUUCCUUGACGCUCUGUAGGCUCACUGGGAUCAAGUUGCGUUGUGUUCCUGGUCAUUCCCAUCCAAGUGGAAUGACUUGUGAAGCUCCAUAUAGUGCUGUAGGCACAGGGUUCCUACAGUGAAGCCAAUCCCACUUCCAAGAUGGAAAAGGUUGUAAAGUUUGUGCCAUAAAGGGUCAAGGGGACGUGAUUUGUUUCAAAAACUUGUUUUCAUUCUCCUCAAGAAGUCAGCAUGUCACAGUUAAAACAUCUUAGAAAAUGCGAGUUUCAAGAUGUUUCUUCUGGAAAAAUACCACAGCCAUGGGGAAAUGAAGGAUAUGACUUGAGGCUCAUUUAUCUUUUUUUAACCUUUUUGUAGCCCUAUCCAAUCUUCUGUCAGCAUCCAAAUGGUCACCUCAAAGGUCCUUUCUUGAAGGAAGGAGCAGAAAUUCCUGUACUGUGGCAGAAUGGUUUUCAUUCUGCUUGCCAUCCUUUGUGGUUAAGACAAAGCUGGGGAUGGAACAGCAUCUGCUGACUAUGGGGUAGGUUUGGAAAGCAACGUUUUCCUCUCUUCCUCUGCCAGUUGCUGGCAUUAAUGUCAUGAAUCAUUCAUGCUGGAACCUGAAUCCUUUGAAGUAUGUAUAGUCAAGCAGAGUUGUCUCUGUGCACCAAGGUGCUAAACUCCUAGCAGAGCAAAGAAAUCACCAACAAAUGAGUUUUCUCUACUCACCCUUACAAAUAUCAAUCACCUGCGCAUUGCCAUGGUGCUGUAGGACAGCCUGAACUGUGUCACGGAAAGUACUAGCAAACAAACACACAGCCCACGUGCAUGACUUCCAUGAUCUCCAAUGAGAUUCUACAGCCCAGGAAGUGUCUGUAGUGGCAAUGAGAUUAAUUACGGGGUUGCUGGAAGGUUGGGGCAGUAGGGCAAUAAACCUUCCAAGUGUGUGAUUUUCAGCCAAUGGAAGAAUAAGAGGAACAAGAGCAGAACUUCUCCUGUCAUGCUAAUCUCCAUGUGCCAUGUCCAGCUUUGCCUUUGUGGAGCUUUUGCAGAUGGCCCAAACCUUGACAACAGAUAAAAGCAAGGAAUAAAACUUGUGUCAUGGUUUACUUCUGCCAACACUGAUGGCUCAAGAAAAUAUUUGAUCAUGGAAUGCCAAUGAGAUUCUGAAUGAGUGGGACCAUUUCUCCUCCACCUUCCAGGUCAGGAUCUCACGAUCAGAGCCUCACAACACCCCUGUGAGGUAGAUAUUAUUAUACCUGGGUGGGUAAACUGAGGCACACGUAGAAGAAGUGGAGAGCAAGUGAAAGGAAAAGCUGAGGAUCCUGGGAUCCUCAACACCAGUCUCUUGCUCUGAGUACCAUUUCCUCUGUGAAAAAGAAGACACGUGACUGUCUGCUGGAAGGCAAGAAAGAACGACUGAUGAGCUCAUGAGACAGCAGAAAGAAUGAACACCCAUUUUCCUAGCGUAAGUUUGGCUCGUUAAAGGUCAAAGGAAGACACUGAGUGUGACAGCAAGGAAAGAGAUUAUCCAGAAGAGGUCAGAAAUGUCAGAAACCAAGUUAAAGAACAUGAACAAAAGCAUAACAGAAAGAGCUCCAAAUGGGUAUCCUUGGGGUGUCCCUCAAAUCAGCAUGGAAAUUCUGAUGGAGACACCAAUGAGCUUCACUUUUGCAGAUCCAGUGGUUUCCAGUGAGGUUACUUCUCAGCUCACAAGAAAGAAGGAAAGGAGAGUAAAAGAGGAAAAAAGGAAAAGAGAGGUGGGAGAGAGAGAGGAAGGGAAAAUGGCAGAGAAAAAAAGGAAAGAGGUGGGGAGAAGGAAGGGAGGGAGGAAGGAAGGGCAGAAAGAAAAAGAGAAAGAAAGAAAAGAAGAGAGAAAGGAAAAGGAAAGAACACACUUAAAGCCAUAGAGUUUUCCCCUUUUGCAACCUGCCUUUGCUUGUAAAGAGGCAAAGGGGGGGAUUUUCCCUUCCAAAAUUCUGCAAAGUGUCCCUAGGCAGAGAGAAUACAGGGCAGACUGUCUGAUGCAGAAGGUUUUGGGAGAUAGCACCUGGCACAAGGUUUGCUACAAUAAGUUGGUUAUUCUUUAUUGCGUUGGAUAUAAAACAGUCUUGUAAAGUCCUGCAUAAAACCAUAGCUCUGGCCUGCAAAGUCUCAGCCUCACCUGGGCUUUGCGGAAUAAUUUCGGGGCAAAAGGUUUGGGUUUGCUUUGUUGUUGUUGCUUUUAACUUUACUUGGUUUCAAGGAUGGAAAUUAAAGCUAUUUAUGAGUCUUCCUAGGGAAGGAGAAAGUCUGUCUAUACAGAGAGAUGUAUCCAAUGUAUUGCUGAUGAGGCCAGAGGAUGAGCAAAGCACGUUACUCAGCUUGUAAACCAUGGCAAUGUUUUUGAAGAGAGUUUUUGCCUAACCCCAGAACAUGCUCCUGUUGAGCAGAGCAAGGCUUGGUAGCAAUGAGGAGAAGCAGAUCUCUGACAGCUGGUGGAGAGCUGCGCCAUGCCCUUGACUGGUGCAUGUCAGGAUGGCUCCAGUUAUUUCAGUAGGACUCUGAUAAUUUACACCAGCUGUAUGGUUAAUUGCUCAAAUUAAAACAUUUGCAUGCUAGCUUUGAGACAGGGGAGAUAAACUGACCAUUGGAGGCAGUUUGUGGAAUGCCACUCAAAAAUCUAGCUUUUCCCAGUGCACAUAGAGCCAAGAAGAGGCAAACAGAUGUGAGGUGAGGUGACACCAUUGAGCAUUCUUCCAAAACACACAAGCAGACUUUCAACAACUAAGGUCUUUCCUUACAGGGAACAGACCCUUUUUCCAGUCAUGUUGAAGACAGAGAAGGUCAGCUUUGCAAAAGUAAAAUCCUAAGGGCUAGAAAAGGCCCUUUCAAGGAAUUGACUACUGAUGUCCUCUAUCAGAGGAUGCUCCCCACAUACAUCCUUGAGUUAACAGAUCUUGCAGCUUUAGAAAGCAAAGCCCCAUUUCAGCAGGAACUUUUCCAUGUAGAGACAUAGGACUCUGAACUGAUUGGAUCCUUGAAGACAAAAAACCCAUUGUGCACCAUGCCAUGAAACAUCCACCAGGUGAUUUCCUCCUGACCAGAGAACUGCACUUGGGCACUGGUUUUACCCUGGAUCAAAGUAAGAAGAGAAGCAGAUUGCUUCUGCUUGCUGAGCUGAGGAGAUGCCUACCACAAACAGCUUUAUGUGGAUGGAGCUGAUCCUGCAACACAUCUCAGGAUCUGUCUUCAGUGUUGAGGCCGCAUCCAUCGUGCUGUAUGAUGUAACUGCAUGCCAAGAAAGGAUUCCUCACUGUGCCUAAGUCAGGUUAGGCACAGUGUGCCUAAGGUUGUUUAUUUCCAGAUGAAAACCAGUUAGACUAUCAAGCAGCAAAAUCAGAGUGCAACCAUGGUUUAAAAGGAGUGGUGGAGAUCAGAGAAGAUCAAGAGAAAACAAUUCAGCCCAUAGCUUUGCAUAAGGGAGGAAAGAGAAGGCUGGAGUUGUCCUGUUUCUGGAGCAGAGAGGCAGAUUCUCAUUCCCUAUUCUCCUGUGCAAAAAGGACUAUUUUAUAAGCUCUUAGGGAAGAAAAGGCUGGUGAAAGCAAAGUGGAGAUGUUUAAGUAGCACUGUAAGGAUGGACAAAAUGAGAGGAACUGCUCAGAAAGAGAUAAAGCAAUGCAUCAGAUUGAUCUUGAUGAGCACUUCACUGGGAUUUGGACAUGUUAUACUUUGCUGGGUUCCCCCAAAGUGCAACCCACACUUCUUGCACCAGACGAUCACAUUCUGAUGAUGCCAUGAGUGAGGUCACCCCAGAGGUGGCUGUGAUAACAGUGCUCUGCCAUGGAUAGGCAGCAUGAGCCAGAUCGUGUCCUGCUGGAAAAGCCCUUUGAGACUCUCUGGGUUGAAGAGCACUAAAAAAACUGGUAGCUCUAUGUAUCUACAUCUAGCUCUGUGUUACCCUGGGGAAAGGCCACUGGAGGUUUGUCAGCUAUUAGAAACACAGAUGUCUCCGCAUCGACCUGUGCAGGGAGGUCAGUCCCAGGAGCUGCUCAUGGGCGCUGCAGCUUUGAUGGUGUCACUCAGAAAUGUUCUCUUUCUGGCAGUUCAGCAGAAGCAAAGCCUGGAGCAAACCAACGAGAAGUCAAGUGAAAAGGGACCAUGUCCUUUGCCUGUAUGCUUCCCACACCUGCAGGGCUGGGCUCCAAAUGAGCUCCUCCGGAACACGGUGGGUUUGUGCUUCUGGAAGCAGGGAGCUUAUUGCUGAACAGCUUCAUUAUGUUCCUCAUGGGAUGAUCGUCCCCACUUCACUGCUGUAGUUUCAGCGAUGCUGCUAAAAGCCAUAAUCAUCCAAUGGAGAGCUGGGAGAAACCCCAGGGAGCCUGCUGUGAUCCUGAUAAAACACGUGCUGCCGAGAGGAAAAACCCAACUUUCACUCACUAUGGAGGCACCAAAUCCUGCCCUUGUACCCCACAAUUAUCCGAGAUGGUCAGGCCUGAUGUUGAUGUCCUGGUGUAGGACAGGAGCCGGCCCCUCAGCUCAGCCUUGUCCCAGGGUCCAGCAGCCCGGCCGUGAGCAUCUCCCCACUGGCAAGAGAGAUCCCAGUGGAAAGUCAAACCUGGACUUCAGAGCAAAUUAAAUGGAACGCAGCAACUGAAUCACAACCGUGAUGCAAAACAUCAUUUUGCCGGACGAAACGCAGUUUCCACAACCUGGUUUUAAGGAACAGUAUUACAUAUAGAUAGAUACACUAUGCUAGAUCUUGAGGAAAAAAAUAAAUAAAGAAAGAAAUAUGCUAAGUAAACUAAGACAUACAGUAUAGGGGAUAUUCUGAUCAACAAACCAAUCACCAUUAGAAUCAAAAAGUAAACCAGCCUUUCACUUAGGACCCUAACAACAUUUCUCAAUGCACUAAGUACAUUUUAAACCAUGCAAGUUUACACAAACAUCUUAACUAGGUUGUUUUUUUUUUCCUUUUUUUUUUGUUUUUUUUUAACUUUUUUUUUUUUUUACUUUUUAAAACACCAACAUUAUGCAUUUCUUUGUUAAUUAUAUUGGUUAAAGUUGCAGCCGCUCGCUGCCAAAUAUCAGAUACAUCAUAUACAUAUUUUUAUACAGAAUCUGGACAACACAACAUUACACAGCCUAAAGAGAGAAAAAAAGAUUAUUUGUUCCUUUGUUUGUUUUCUUUUUUUUUUUUUAUUCUUUUAUAAAAAAGACGAAAUGAUGAUAGGAAGGAGGGAGAAGGUGUGAGAAAUCUACCAACUUAAAGGACUGUAGCCAAAUAAUUCCCAGAUCACAGUAAGACAAGGGAGAAAAUAAAAAUGGUUCAAACUCAGCUCCACGUGUAAGGUUCUCUUAGCUAGGAAACAAGACUUUCACACACAGAAUGUAUCAGUGUUUAAAAACAGAAAGGAUCGCAACACCAUGCUGUCUGAUUCCAAAUACAUCUCAUUUAAAAACAAAAACAAAAGAAACCAAAAAACCUAAAAACAAACCCAAAUCGAUCAGUCAACGUUGUGAUUGCAAAGUUAUCUUGUUGGUUGGGAUUUCCUACCUACUGGUAACGCAUUGCUGUGUGAUGGAGUUGGACAGCCAAGGCGACCACAGCAACGCCAGCAUAAAGGAACAGCUCGGACGUCACUCCCUGGUUCUGUUGGUCGGACACUCGGAGCAGCUGGAACUGCUGAGGGGAUCUGAUGCCAUCAAAAAGACUUGGAGGUCUUGGCUUUUCCUUCUACACGGCUUGUUUGGGUGUAUCUUUCUGACAAGAGCUUGGGGUGACCAACGCAGUUCCCAUGGCCAUACCCUGCCCAUCCACAUCCUGUAGCAAUGCGCGUGUUGUGUGAGACAGAAAGGAAACAGAACCUGGGAACUAACCGUGGAGGAUGCUGUUUGUGGACAUGAUACAAAAGAACACAUCAAUUUCACAAUUUCACGAGCACGGACUUUUGCCUCAAUAAAAGCAUGAAACGUCUGUCGAAAUCCCGACAAUUCAAACAUAAAAACCAUUGGAUGAAGGACAUGACUGUGUGUUUGAGUCACGGCAUUCUGCGACCCCACUGAGCUCUGGGGGCUCACAGAGGGUUGGGGUCUCACCCCACUGCCUCUGGCCCAGGCAGACCGCUAUUCCACCUCCCACAGCUGGGAUCUGAGGUUGUGCAUUUAAAGGUGAUGUUAGAAUUGAUUAGUGUUUUGUUUGGACAGGUUUCCUGCAGCAGGAUCACCCGUGCUGGCCCCAUGAUUCCAAGCAACAGGGGCUUUUUCCUUCAAGUAAUUUUAAGGUGAGAUGGAAAUGACUGCAGCCCUGGUGAUAUCCCGCUAUGAGGGACUAGCUCAAGGAAGAUGCUCCACUCAUACCCCUCCUACCACAAAGGAGGCAACACAGGACAUCACAGGGGCAAAACCAAGCUCAACACAUUAAUUCAGUAGUGAUAACCCAGAAUUACACCAGCACAACAGACUGCCCUGUCUUCAUGCAACUGAAGUCCCACAGAUUCCACUCUGAAUGGGGAACAAAACCUCCCAGCACUCGGAACCAUCACAGCAGUGCACUGCCAAUGUAAAUCUUCCUGUCUAUGCACAUUUGUUUCUGCCUGUGCACAUGCCCUAGACACACACAUAUGACUUAAUGGAUAUGGCAGAAGACCCUACAGCUCCUUCAUCACUGCUAAAAGGUAUGGAUAAUUCUCCUGGCUUCCUCUGGAAAUCAAUCCCUGCUAACAAGUUUUCUUCCUUUGCAGUAUUUAAGCAGCGUUCUCUACUUUGUUGACACAAAAACUGAAGGCUAAGCCCUUGGGGAAGCAUAUGGUGGAUGCACCACAUGGCAUGGAGGCCACUAAGCCCCACCAGACAUGGUAGGGCAGAGUGAAAAAACAUAAUGCAAGAUAUCUGAAGAUUAGAGACAGCCAAUCUGCCACCUUGCUGCUGGUCAGAUAUUUACCAUCACCAACCUGAUGUUAAACUCCGCUUGUUUUAUAGUCAAUAGACGGAAACGGCCUCUCCUGAAAUGUGAUUCUUCUUCCUAUCAUGAAUGUGACCAAAUGUGAUGCCUCACAGUCUGUCAGUGCUGGAGCAGGAGUAUAGACAACAAGUUCAGGUGAAGAGGCCACUUCCAUUGACUUAAGAUUAGGUGAGAUAAGUCCCUCCAUCCCCAACAAUCAGGAGGGCAAGAAAAAGUGUUGCCUAUUCAACCAAAUCAACAAAAAAGAAACCAACCCAAAACUCAGGGUGAAAUCAGGACUUGAUCAAAGUGCCAAGAUGUUCUCUUAAGCCAAUAGUAACUUACACAUAUCAGGUGUGGUUAAAGUUGGAAGAAUCAUUUUAAAGGGUGAGCAGGUUGCAUAGAUGAAAUUCCACAGAAUAGACAAUAAAGUCUUACUAUUUUCACUGCACAGAUGUUUAGCCAGCCAGAAGUUGGAUGUGUAUGGGGUUGCCAAGGAUCUCUCCUUCCAUCCUAAGCCAGAUAAAAGAUGGAUCACUUCCCAGAAGGACCAGACCUUUCCUUUGGACUGCAAUAUGGAUCUCGACUGCUGAAUUGUACUACAGCAUCCACUGCUUACAUUGCUUAUGACAAAGAGGACCGUGUUCAAUCUUCAACUGACAUCAACUGAAACCAAACCCAUGAGAGGUUGCACACAGCUUCCUGAAAGAUUAUUCUCCUAUUCCAAAUCACUGUUCCUUCACUGCUUGCUGAGUGAAGGUGUCCAGUGUUGCACACCAGUUUGGUUUGUGCAUACACUCCUGGGGCUGGAAUUAUCUCUAGUUGGCACUGAAAGGAGGACAAGUGAUUUACAAGAGAAAGAAAUGGAACUGGAGGAUGUUCUAGCCAUAGCUCUGCAGUUGCUUUCAAUUACAACUCAGUAUUUUUUAUUCUGCCUGUGUUUAGCAGCGUUCAGCAGCUUUGGCAUUUCUGAGCUAAACAAGCUUUAAAGAAUAGUAGCAGCAUAGUACAGUAGUAUAAUAUAGUAGUAAUAUAAUAGAAACAAUAAAAUCUUCCAUAUUUAAAACCAACAAAGCAAGAAAACAAAGAAAUAAGAAGAUGGUCCGAAAGUUCUAAGGCUGCGGGUGAAAUCAUAGCUCCAAGAAGAGGUGUCCAGUGACUCUGUAAUCAACUAAAAUGCAGACUUUGGGCAGAAAUUUCUAUGUCCCCUUGAACAGCAUUUGAAGAAUGUAUUUAGUGCUUGACUCUGUGAUUUCCAUUUCACAUUGGCCUUACUCACAAAUACGAUGAACUCCAUCUCACUUUAAGUUAGAUGUGAGAAAGUUCGACCCAAAGAAGUGGUGUGAGAUAUGUGGGUUGAAUUCCUCUUCAAGCGUGCCUGUCUCCUUCUGCUGAUGGUAGAGGAAGAAGAUCUAAAGAGGUUAGGCAAGGCACUUCAGUUUUUAGGGAGUGAAAGUUGAGUAGGAUUAAUCCUUCUUUCAAGUUUUCUCCCUGCUCCUAAUGGAGAUGUUAGUUACAGUAUUGUCAGGUGGGAAAGGCUGCAGAAUUACUCAGAGGGUACGUCCUAUAUUAAAAGAAAAAAACACUCAUAUUUUGAAAAUUACAUCUGCACUCCUCAGCUAAAUGAAGUCCCAGCCGGAGGCUAAAGAACAUUAUGAGAACAUUAUUAUCUCAGCUGGAGAUAAAGACAAAUAAUUUCUCAAAGGUCUUCCAUCCCUGUCUCUCUCUCUGGCACUUCAGACUAUUCCUAACCCUUCUGAGGAGGUCAUGCACAUGUUGGUUACCUUCUUUUUGUAAAGCUACUUUCUUCUUGAAAAGAGUUUGCCAUUGCUGAUGAAAUCUACCAAGCGCCGGGAGAGCUUGUAUCGAUCUGGCUCUUAGGAAAGUAAGAAACUUGACAAAAACUCUAGGCAGGAACAAUGCCUAUACAGAAGGAAGGCACAAGGAUGAGACACAUUCCCAUCACAGCGCUCUUUUGCUCAGGGGCUUUAAUUAAAUGAGGCAUUCCUCUCGAUGCGUGAUCAAUCACC